RNAcentral lists this transfer RNA (30 nucleotides) under Cryptotriton xucaneborum (Sierra de Xucaneb hidden salamander). RNAcentral's name for it is "Cryptotriton sp. MVZ Herp 263575 partial tRNA-Lys". The record is from RNAcentral. Lineage: Eukaryota; Metazoa; Chordata; Amphibia; Caudata; Plethodontidae.
CAUUAAGAAGCUUUCAUGUAUAAGCAAUAG